RNAcentral lists this ribosomal RNA (431 nucleotides) under uncultured bacterium. RNAcentral's name for it is "partial 16S ribosomal RNA". It matches the Rfam family "Bacterial small subunit ribosomal RNA", at positions 338 to 795 of the family's 1533-position model. The record is from RNAcentral.
CCUACGGGUGGCAGCAGUGGGGAAUCUUGGACAAUGGGCGCAAGCCUGAUCCAGCCAUGCCGCGUGAGUGAUGAAGGCCUUAGGGUUGUAAAGCUCUUUCGACGGGGACGCGGUACCCGUAGAAGAAGCCCCGGCUAACUUCGUGCCAGCAGCCGCGGUAAUACGAAGGGGGCUAGCGUUGUUCGGAAUUACUGGGCGUAAAGCGCACGUAGGCGGAUGUCUAAGUCGGGGGUGAAAGCCUUGGGCUCAACCCAAGAAUUGCCUUCGAUACUGGAUGUCUUGAGACCGGGAGAGGUGAGUGGAAUUCCGAGUGUAGAGGUGAAAUUCGUAGAUAUUCGGAAGAACACCAGUGGCGAAGGCGGCUCACUGGCCGGUCUGACGCUGAGGUGCGAAAGCGUGGUGAGCAAACAGGAUUAGAUACCCUUGUAGUC